Molecule: long non-coding RNA, 2824 nt
Filed under: Homo sapiens (human)
Lineage: Eukaryota; Metazoa; Chordata; Mammalia; Primates; Hominidae
Description: HSALNT0043537
Source: RNAcentral
UUGAAUUUGCAAAUGAAGGUUGGAUGCUUUAUCCCACUGUGAAUUUGGACAUUCUCCCCCACUCCACCCCUCCAGGGUGCUUUGUGGCUUAAUAAUGUGGGGGAGUUGAGGCAGAAGGUUGGCCACCCCUGUGCUAGGUGCUUUCAGUGGAAGCCAGAGAGCUGGGUCAGGAUUUCUGGACUUUCUGGGUUGUCUAUGGAAUUUCAUGUGAUUAAAAAAUAUAUAUUUUGCUCCCAGUGGCCCCACCUCCAAAGAAAUGGGUCUAAGAAGGAAGUAAAAAUGGGUUAUUUUAUGUUUAGAUAUUUGCUUAAAUAUUUAUUUGUUGGGAAAUGUGGUACAGAAAUAACUGACACCUUCAUGCCAAAAAUCUUAAAAAGGUGAAAGGGGCUGAACUUCAGGGAGCAGAAUCAGAGAUAUGUGCACUUACUUCUGAACUCCACCCCUCCCCACUCUCUGGAAAUGUAUAUAGGGGGGCCUUAACCCUUCCAGAAGGAAGCAAAGGAUUCACUCAAAGUUGCAUUCUUGAAAAUAUAUUUCCACAUGUGUUUUUUUCAGCACUGUGCUUACAACCAGUUCUGGGUGAUUAAAGGAAAGGGAAAAAAACCAACAAAUGGUCCAACAUUUUCCUUCUGGGGAAAGAAAACAAAACCUCUAUGCACUGGGUCAUUAGAUAAUGACUGAAUUUUCUGUUCCAACUGGAUUCCAAAUGCCCUAAAUACCCUCAUAUAGCAGUGUUUUACAGGAAUUAGUGUAUGGCCUGUGUAGGGGAGGGGCUGUGCAGUGGGGAGAAAGUGGGAAGGUGAGGAACUCUUGCUUUAAGAAGGAAAAAAAAAAAACCCUAAUUGAAUCUAGAAGUCCACAAAAGUUAGCCUUAGAGUUUUUUUCCCCCUGAAGUUUUAAUUUUUUUAAAAACCAAAUCUAAGGAAGUUUUCCUCAGCUCAUUAAUUAGAAGCAGAAUUUGUAAAAGUAUAAAAGUUUUCAAGCACUCGUCUUUGCCUUGAGAAUAGUGGUUUUUUAAAGAAUCACUCUCAACAGGGGAGAUGUCCUCUAGUCGUUUUUCUUCUGCCUCUCCUGGGAAGGGUUCAAAGUUCAUUUUUCUAAAAUGCUGACCCUCAAGCAUAAGGAGGAAGAAGUCAAAGUUAAUGGCCAGAGUUCAUAUACUCAGAUGAAACCAGUCUUCCCAAGGCCUCAGGCUCCAAAAAAGGUUGUAGCUAUCAAAAAGUGACCAAAGUGGGAAAGGGAGAAAGGAUAAGCUUAAAAUUUAAUUUUAAGAUCCAGAAGGGGGGUAUUUUUUUCAGUACUUCAAAAACACUUUAGAAGGUUUCUGUUGUAAUUUAAAAAAUAUAUUUAAGUGGGAGGGAAAAAAGAGUUUCUCUGUAGGCUUGUUCUUUGGCUGUGUCUCCUGAGAGCUGAGGGCAGGUAUUCACUGCAGUCCCUAGGCUGAAAUUCCGCUUCUCUGAAGUGUCUUCCAAGCCUUGGUCUUUUGUAUUAGACCCUGGGGACUGCUCUUUGUUUCUCCUUGGGGUGAGCCUGGCUCUCAGACUUGCACAUGGCAAUACUUGAAUGUCACCACGUCGGGAUAUUAAAGAUGGAUAUUCGUGCAUUAUUCACAUCAUUGUUUCUAUGACAAAAAGCACAGAGUUCAUACAUAGUCAAGACGUCUUUUUUCUGACGCCCUCACGUUGAGAAGCUGAAAAGGUAUUUUACCGAAGUUCGGGUAAAUUACAGAAUCAGGUUCAUCCAGAGGACAAAUUUUCUAUUUGAUUAGCUGUAUUUCAGCCGGGAGGACUGACCUCUAAACCCCUAACCUUUUGGACUCUAACUACCCUUCUCUUCUUUUUUCCUCUCUAACAUGGAGAGCAGUCUUUGGAUGUACCAUUUGAAAGGAGCCGCUAUCCUUAGGCAAGUUGGAAAGUUGCUAAGCUGCUUUCCUAAAACCCAAAUCUGUCUAUACAUUGAACCUUCUCUUUGAGAAGGGGAAAAAGGUAUAUAUUUUCACAACAUCCAAUUACAUAUAUAUAAUAGAGAUUUGUUGUAUAGAUUUUCCCCCACCUCAGAAGUUCAGGUUACUCACCCCCAGUUUCAUACCAAAUGCCACACAGGCUUAACUGACUGCAUCCCUGCCCCAGAGGAAAGCCAAGAAACAUGUUUUCAUGAGGAAAACCCAAGCUCCUUCUCAAACAUAGCCCCACUACUUUGGAAAGUAACUUAAUCAGAGAAACAACUUCUUUGUUUAUAAGUCUCAGCUCUCCUUCUCAGCUUGGAGGGAUUCUUUUGAAAUGUUAAUGGAGCCUGGAUGGCCCAGAGUGCAGCCCCCAACCCUGAGGUCCCAGUCGGACCCCAGCAUCCAUUUGGGCCCACAGGAGUGGGCCAGGGAAGGGGUAGGGCCCCGUAACCACUUAGGGCAGGGAAGGAAAUGGGUUUCCAUCUGAGAACGUGCUUUGGAGAAAGCUAGGUGUGGAAAAGCUCCAAUGCCCAUUUGCUAUUAUUUGUUUCCAGUUUGUUCCUUUAAAUAUGAGCCAGAAGUGUUUGUGUUGGUGUUUUAAAAACAAAAACAAAAACCGUGUUGGGGUCCUGACUGGGGGAGGGGGAGAGUGAAGUGUUUGCUGAGGACAUUGCUCCUCUGACUCCCAUCUCACUUUGUCCAUCGCAGCCUUUUGUUGGGAGAUGACACUGUCAGUCAGCCCAUGAUGUCUGUUCACACGAGAUGCUUUUUUAAUAGAAUUGACCAAUGUUUUGCUGCCACUGAUUAAAGUAUUAUUUAUACUAAUUGUUGCUUGUAGUUUUGAUGUAAUUCAUUGAUCUAUAUUUAAAAUAAUAAAAG